Molecule: ribosomal RNA, 255 nt
Filed under: uncultured bacterium
Lineage: Bacteria
Description: partial 16S ribosomal RNA
Rfam family: Bacterial small subunit ribosomal RNA
Source: RNAcentral
UACAGAGGGUGCGAGCGUUGUUCGGAAUUACUGGGCGUAAAGCGCGCGCAGGCGGCCCUUUAAGUCCGUCGGUCAAAUGCCGGGGCUCAACCCCGGUGCAUGCCGCGGAUACUGGAGGGCUGGAGACACGUAGAGGCAAGCGGAAUUCCGGGUGUAGCGGUGGAAUGCGUAGAGAUCCGGAAGAACACCGGAGGCGAAGGCGGCUUGCUGGGCGUGAUCUGACGCUGAGGCGCGAAAGCGUGGGGAGCGAACAGG